This 253-nucleotide ribosomal RNA is filed under the name uncultured bacterium. RNAcentral's name for it is "partial 16S ribosomal RNA". It matches the Rfam family "Bacterial small subunit ribosomal RNA", at positions 524 to 776 of the family's 1533-position model. The record is from RNAcentral.
UACAGAGGUCCCAAGCGUUGUUCGGAUUCACUGGGCGUAAAGGGUGCGUAGGCGGUCGGGUAAGUCUGGUGUGAAAUCUCACAGCUUAACUGUGAAACUGCAUUGGAUACUAUUCGGCUUGAGAGUUGGAGGGGGGACUGGAAUUCUUGGUGUAGCAGUGAAAUGCGUAGAUAUCAAGAGGAACACCAGUGGCGAAGGCGAGUCCCUGGACAACUUCUGACGCUGAGGCACGAAAGCUAGGGGAGCAAACAGG